Molecule: long non-coding RNA, 521 nt
Organism: Lepus europaeus (European hare)
Lineage: Eukaryota; Metazoa; Chordata; Mammalia; Lagomorpha; Leporidae
Exons: 3
Source: RefSeq, a predicted model, not a curated record
CCCCCGGGUCGAGCCCCGAACCGCUUCCCUGUGGUGGAGUCAGCUGAGGGGCGCUGACCAGACCUGUGGUCAGUCCUGGGAGCCCGGAGAGGGGAAGCCCAGCCUCCAGGCGGAAGGCUCCCUGGAGGAGGCGGGCGGCGGCGGGUCAGCGGCACCGAGCAGCUGAAAUCUCCAACGAUGGGCCUAACAUCAUCUGUGUCACGGAGAAGGAAACGAAGGGCACCCAAAUCAGAACACGCAAAAGGUCCUGGAUGCAGAGCUUGCUGUAGCCACGGGGUCCCCAGCCAUCACCUGUGUUGGGCGGAGUCUCCAAGGCCGGCAGAGGAGUGGGGAAGUUUUACAGUGGAAAGAAGCGGCUCAGCUCUGCCCUGUUGGAGAUGUAUGGCCUGGGGACGCUGGUUGCUGAAUUACCUUGGUGGACUCCCAGUGGGCAUCCUCUGUGACCAGCUUGGCCUGAUGGCUGGGAGCCAACCGCUUGGCAGAGCUGGGGCCCGUGAAGCCGUGUUCCUGACACCGGGUGG